This 253-nucleotide ribosomal RNA is filed under the name uncultured bacterium. RNAcentral's name for it is "partial 16S ribosomal RNA". It matches the Rfam family "Bacterial small subunit ribosomal RNA", at positions 524 to 776 of the family's 1533-position model. The record is from RNAcentral.
UACGUAGGGUGCGAGCGUUGUCCGGAAUUAUUGGGCGUAAAGGGCUCGUAGGCGGUUUGUCGCGUCGGGAGUGAAAACCCAGGGCUUAGCUCUGGGCUGGCUUUCGAUACGGGCAGACUAGAGGUAUGCAGGGGAGAACGGAAUUCCUGGUGUAGCGGUGAAAUGCGCAGAUAUCAGGAGGAACACCGGUGGCGAAGGCGGUUCUCUGGGCAUUACCUGACGCUGAGGAGCGAAAGUGUGGGGAGCGAACAGG